This 492-nucleotide ribosomal RNA is filed under the name uncultured bacterium. RNAcentral describes it as "partial 16S ribosomal RNA". It matches the Rfam family "Bacterial small subunit ribosomal RNA", at positions 29 to 507 of the family's 1533-position model. The record is from RNAcentral.
AGUGAACGCUGGCGGUAGGCCUAACACAUGCAAGUCGAACGGCAGCACAGUAAGAGCUUGCUCUUACGGGUGGCGAGUGGCGGACGGGUGAGGAAUACAUCGGAAUCUACUUUUUCGUGGGUGAUAACGUAGGGAAACUUACGCUAAUACCGCAUACGACCUACGGGUGAAAGCAGGGGAUCUUCGGACCUUGCGCGAUUGAAUGAGCCGAUGUCGGAUUAGCUAGUUGGCGGGGUAAAGGCCCACCAAGGCGACGAUCCGUAGCUGGUCUGAGAGGAUGAUCAGCGACACUGGAACUGAGACACGGUCCAGACUCCUACGGGAGGCAGCAGUGGGGAAUAUUGGACAAAGGGCGCAAGCCUGAUCCAGCCAUACCGCGUGGGUGAAGAAGGCCUUCGGGUUGUAAAGCCCUUUUGUUGGGAAAGAAAAGCAGCAGGUUAAUACCCCGCUGUUCUGACGGUACCCAAAGAAUAAGCACCGGCUAACUUCGUG